Molecule: unclassified non-coding RNA, 227 nt
Filed under: uncultured fungus
Lineage: Eukaryota; Fungi
Description: sequence contains ITS1, 5.8S rRNA gene
Rfam family: 5.8S ribosomal RNA (bases 179-227)
Source: RNAcentral
UUUCCGUAGGUGAACCUGCGGAGGGAUCAUUACUGAGCGAGGGUCUAACCGCCCGACCUCCAACCCCAUGUGAACCGAAACCUGUUGCUUCGGGGGCGACCCUGCCUUUCGGCGCGGCGCCCCCGGAGGCUCAUCAAACACUGCAUCUCUGCGUCGGAGUCUUAAUGAAUUUAAACAAAACUUUUAACAACGGAUCUCUUGGUUCUGGCAUCGAUGAAGAACGCAGC